Molecule: long non-coding RNA, 2403 nt
Filed under: Homo sapiens (human)
Lineage: Eukaryota; Metazoa; Chordata; Mammalia; Primates; Hominidae
Description: HSALNT0279773
Source: RNAcentral
UUUUUAAAAAAUUGUAGAGAUGGGUUCUCACCACGUUGCCUAGGCUGGUCUUGAACUCCUGGGCUUAAGCAAUCCUCCUGCCUUCUCAUUUCUCUGUGCCCGGGCUGAGUGUGGGAGUAGAAGAUUUUGUUUGCAGAAAGGUCACAUGGACUCAUUCUGAUUCUAAAAUUAAAUGAAAAGAAAAGAAAAGUAGCAAAUAAAAACAGAAAACAAAACGAUCACAUGGAUGUACCAUUUUGCCCCAAUGCAUGUUGCCUAAGAGAGACGAUGCCUUCCCAGUUCGCCAGAGCUAUGGCUCUUAGUAGGUGUCUAGGUCCAUUUCGUGUUGCUGUGAAGGAAUACCUGAGGCUGGGUAAUUUAUAAAGAAAAGUGGUUUAUUUGGCUCAUGGUUCUGCAGGCUGCACAAAUGCAUGGCACCAGCAUCUGCUUCUGGGGUGGGCUUCGGGAAGCUUCCACUCAUGGUGGAAAAGGAAAGGCAGCUGGCGUGUGUAGAGAUCACACAGUGAGAAAAGAAGCAAGAGAGAAAGGAGAGGACGUACUAGGCUGUUUUUAACAACAAGAUCAUCUGGGAACAAAUAGACCAGAGAACUCACCCAUUACCAAAAAGUCAUCAUCAAGCCACUCAUGAAUGAUCUGCCCCAUGACCCAAACACCUUUCACCAGGCCCACUACCGACACUGAGGGUCACAUUUCAACAUGAGAUCUGAAGGGGAGAAAUAUCCAAACUACGUCAGUAGGUAAAGGACACGAGAAGAGUGGUGCUCUAUCAGAAUCACUCAGGGAGCAUUUAUGAAAUAUGCCUGCUUUACCCUUUCUCCUUCAUCAUGCUCAGGGGAUAUUCACAAUACAUAUAAAAAAUUAAUCUUCCUCUUGAGGACUUUCCUUCUUUGCAAUCUUUCCCUGGAGCUGAGGAUAGCCAGACUCUAAAUGGAUAACAAAUAAUUUCUCUUGACAUGUGCUUUCCUUUGCAACGACGUAUGGGAAAUUGAAUUUCUCCCAGGAAGAAGUGGGGAUGGAUGAAACCAGGCUUCAACUCAAUGCAUCUGUGUAAUUGCUAAGAGAGAGCUGCUUCCACCAUUAGGUAUUAUAAGUGAUGUGUCUCAAAGGAGCCCAGGACAAGUAGCAAGGAGGUGCUUUGUAAGGAAAUAGGAGGAAACCCAAGCUGUUAUUGUCCUGAGAAUUCUUACACGUAUUGAGUUUGCCUUUUGGCCACUCUUUCUGAGGCGUAUGUAGAAAUUUGCCGGUAACCUGACUCUUAGCUCGGAUCCACUUUGCCCACACGGAGGUCAUAUUCCUUCCAGGACUUGGAGAGGGGAGAUGUGUUAAAUGAAGAAUUGUCAUCACUAAUAUGCUUUGAGUUGAUUGACCUUCAUGUCAUAGAAUAAAUGUUCAACUUUGCAUCACGUCAAUGUUUGCCUCCUUCCCACCUGGAGAGAACCUAGUAAGAAAGAACUUGAGUAGCAAUAGUAAACAAUAAAUAUUGGGUCAUCACAUAACCCAUGUUAGUCUCACCCAGAUGCAAAACAUAGCUAAAAACAGUAGAAAAUGGCAACAAACAGUCUUAGAAAAAUACAGACCCUCUAGUGACUGUUUUUGUUUGAUGGCUGACAUUGGUCUAAAGAAAUUUCAAGAGAGCUGAAGGGUGGCAUCCUGUUUUAUUUCUUCAAUCCUUGGAAGAGCUCCCUUGCAUUGAGAAUGCACACAUUUGCAUUUCAAAGCAAGUGGGGUUUGGGUAAACAGUCUUAGAAGUCAAAGCAACCAUCUCCUAGAAGCAAGCUGUAUAUCAGGUAGAGAAAGAAGAGAUGAAAAAGGGCCAUGACUAUGCCCAUUUCAGUCAUCUGCUUGGGAUCCUGCCACAUGGCAGAGUUUGGUGGACACAGCACUUCUCUGCUCCCUGGGACAUAAGCAGAAACAUCUUUGGCAUGACUGAAGCAUUCUACUCCCAAGAUGGCCCCAUGCAUUGGCCUGGCAGAGGAAUGCUGUCUGAAGGCCAGGAGCUCAGUAUGGCUAUUGACUGGCCUGGCCUCAAUUCUCCUCCACAGGGAUCGUUCAGGCUUCUUACAAUAUGGCUGUCUCAAGGUAGUUAGAGGGUGACUUACCCCAUGUCACAAAAGCAGAAGCUUUCAGUUCUUCUUAGACCUGGGGUGAGUGCAGCCACCCUCUGCCAUAUAGUGUUGGAUAAAGCAUAUCCCAGGGCUACUCUGGUUCAACAGAAAGGUAUACACAAGGGUGUAAAUGCCAGAGGUCAAGGUUUUUUGGGGGUUACCCAAGUGGAGUCAACCUUCAUUAUUUGCAGAUGCUCUCUUUGCAAAUUCAGCUACUUGCUCUAAUUUCUUUGUAACCCCAAAUUAAUACUCAUUGCACUUUCGUGAACAUUUAAAGCAAUAAAUAAUUUGAGUCACC